UGAGCAAUCUGCCCUUCUUUUCGGAAUAAGCGUUGGAAACGACGUCUAAUGCCGAAUACGACCUCCUUUCGCAUGAUCGGAGGUGGAAAGCUCCGGCGGAGAAGGAUGAGCUCGCGGCCUAUCAGCUAGUUGGUGUGGGUAAUGGCCCACAAGGCGACGACGGGUAGCCGGCCUGAGAGGGUGACCGGCCACACUGGGACUGAGACACGGCCCAGACUCCGUACGGGAGGCAGCAGG
RNAcentral lists this ribosomal RNA (237 nucleotides) under uncultured bacterium. RNAcentral describes it as "partial 16S ribosomal RNA". It matches the Rfam family "Bacterial small subunit ribosomal RNA", at positions 118 to 354 of the family's 1533-position model. The record is from RNAcentral.